GAUGAAGAACGCAGCGAAAUGCGAUAAGUCGUGUGAAUUGCAGAAUUCAGUGAAUCAUCGAAUCUUUGAACGCACAUUGCGCCCCUUGGUAUUCCAUGGGGCAUGCCUGUUCGAGCGUCAUUUGUACCUUCAAGCUCUGCUUGGUGUUGGGUGUUUGUCUCGCCUCUGCGUGUAGACUCGCCUCAAAACAAUUGGCAGCCGGCGUAUUGAUUUCGGAGCGCAGUACAUCUCGCGCUUUGCACUCAUAACGACGACGUCCAAAAGUACAUUUUUACACUCUUGACCUCGGAUCAGGUAGGGAUACCCGCUGAACUUAAGCAUAUCAAUAAGCGGAGGA
Molecule: unclassified non-coding RNA, 337 nt
Filed under: soil metagenome
Description: partial contains 5.8S ribosomal RNA, internal transcribed spacer 2, and large subunit ribosomal RNA
Rfam family: 5.8S ribosomal RNA (bases 1-120)
Source: RNAcentral